This 423-nucleotide ribosomal RNA is filed under the name uncultured bacterium. RNAcentral describes it as "bacterial SSU rRNA". It matches the Rfam family "Bacterial small subunit ribosomal RNA", at positions 356 to 772 of the family's 1533-position model. The record is from RNAcentral.
GGGGAAUAUUGGACAAUGGGCGAAAGCCUGAUCCAGCAAUGCCGCGUGAGUGAUGAAGGCCCUCGGGUCGUAAAGCUCUGUGGAGGGGGAAGAAUCCUUGCAGCAUCAGAUCCUGCAAGUUGACGGUACCCCUUUAGCAAGCACCGGCUAACUCCGUGCCCGCAGCCGCGGUAAUGCGGAGGGUGCAAACGUUGCUCGGAAUCAUUGGGCGUAAAGCGCACGUAGGCGGACUGUUAAGUCGGAUGUGAAAUCCCUCAGCUUAACUGAGGAAGUGCACUCGAAACUGGCAGUCUUGAAUAUGGAAGAGGGUCGCGGAAUUCCCGGUGUAGAGGUGAAAUUCGUAGAUAUCGGGAGGAACACCAGUGGCGAAGGCGGCGACCUGGGCCAAUAUUGACGCUGAGGUGCGAAAGCGUGGGGAGCAAA